CCACACUCUGGGUCUUCAGGGAAGUGUCAGCCUCAGAGCUGCGGUCAGUGCGUGGAGCCGGCUACCUGUUGGGGAAGAAGAACUUAAGUGGCUUUUCAAGGUACACGCUGAAGACAGCAGAGUGACAAGCUAGAUGGAACCUGGAUCCUAAAUCACCAUGUUAAAGGCCACCCACCAAAUACUCAACAUUGAACAGCUCUGAAUGUUUCCUAAAGAAAUAAUCCAAGAUUCAAAGACUGAUAGAAUCUGAGAACAAUGGACAAAACCCGAAAUGGCUAUAAUCACAAUGAAUGCUGCAAAGGGCUCUGAAACAUGGGAAUGGAAACUGAACAGCAGAGGACAGAAAAUAAAUUACAAAAUUGCUCAGUAGUACAAAUACAGUAUUUGUGAUGGGAAUUAAGAACAAUAGUUGAAAAGAAAAUAAAAACCUGAUCAGCAAGCCUGGUGUUUAAUAAGUGUAUACACUGACCCAUUUGCACAAACAUUUUGGAAUAGAUUGGUGAAUGGAUCCUGGCAUGGAAAUACUUUGUUAAUUGUGAUCAGAGGGUUAUCAGCUCUUUUUCUCUAAGAAAUUAUUUGACAUAUGAUUAAAUUGCCAAGGUCUCUUCUACCUUUUAUAUAUAGAUUUUUCCAGCCCAAGUCCCCUAACAUUAUUGUUUUCAUAACUCUGAAGGCUUUUCUUCUCCUCUUCAUAGCUGAUCCUUCUCACCAUUCUCCCUGGCCUCAGGCAGUGAUGGUAAUAUGGGUAACGUAAGUGCUACUACCAGAAAUUAUGUUAAAAAUGUAUUAUGG
RNAcentral lists this long non-coding RNA (792 nucleotides) under Homo sapiens (human). RNAcentral describes it as "HSALNT0380868". Lineage: Eukaryota; Metazoa; Chordata; Mammalia; Primates; Hominidae. The record is from RNAcentral.